RNAcentral lists this ribosomal RNA (468 nucleotides) under uncultured bacterium. RNAcentral describes it as "partial 16S ribosomal RNA". It matches the Rfam family "Bacterial small subunit ribosomal RNA", at positions 28 to 507 of the family's 1533-position model. The record is from RNAcentral.
GACGUACGCUGGCGGCGUGCUUAACACAUGCAAGUCGAACGGAAAGGCCCUGCUUUUGUGGGGUGCUCGAGUGGCGAACGGGUGAGUAACACGUGAGUAACCUGCCCUUGACUUUGGGAUAACUUCAGGAAACUGGGGCUGAUACCGGAUAGGAGCUCCUGCUGCAUGGUGGGGGUUGGAAAGUUUCGGCGGUUGGGGAUGGACUCGCGGCUUAUCAGCUUGUUGGUGGGGUAGUGGCUUACCAAGGCUUUGACGGGUAGCCGGCCUGAGAGGGUGACCGGCCACAUUGGGACUGAGAUACGGCCCAGACUCCUACGGGAGGCAGCAGUGGGGAAUAUUGCACAAUGGGCGGAAGCCUGAUGCAGCAACGCCGCGUGCGGGAUGACGGCCUUCGGGUUGUAAACCGCUUUCGCCUGUGACGAAGCGUGAGUGACGGUAAUGGGUAAAGAAGCACCGGCUAACUACGUG